Molecule: long non-coding RNA, 212 nt
Filed under: Elaeis guineensis (African oil palm)
Lineage: Eukaryota; Viridiplantae; Streptophyta; Magnoliopsida; Arecales; Arecaceae
Description: long non-coding RNA (EGUI_LNC059720)
Source: RNAcentral
CACCUUGUACACAUAGUACGAUCUCCAAUCCUCUUGAAAGGUACCUAGAUAUGCUUAAAAGAGGAUGUAGAGAAAGUUAUUUCUCAUAGAAGAUAGAAAGCAUAGAGAUGAUCCUAAAACCUACAAUGAGGCGAUGUGGGACAUCGACUCUAAGAAAGGGAUGUGAAAUAACUUUUCUGAGUAGAGAUCUUUUGAAGAUUUCUAUAUGGAGU